GCGGUGGCAGUUGAGCCGCGGGAGGAGCGCUGGGGCAGAAACGGAGAGGGCGGCCCAGAAGGCGAGGGCCGGGCAGGGGCUGGAAAGGAGAUGCUCCUCCCCGGGCCGCACCUGGCCAAGCCGGCUGAUCCGCUGUCGAACCAAAUAGAUGUUGGACGCCAUGCUGCGUGCGCCGCGCCCCCUUCCCUGAAGCCCAGCCCCCAGCACCCCCGUCUCUCCCGCGCGCACGCGCGCCCCCCCCAGGCACUCGCUCCGCUUCCGGCCCCCUCGCCCCCGCGCCGGCGCCUGCGCACCUGGGACGCCUUCCGUGGAGCGAGCGCUUGCUGCCUUACGGCCCUCCGCGGCUCUUCAGGCUCUCGGCUUUCCAGGCGUUCGCCUCCCCCCUGUACCUCUACCUCCUGACCCCGUUUCUCUUCACAGAGCCCAACUUUUCGAUGAAUUUAUGAAGUAAGGACGCAGAUAAAGCCGCAUUUCAAAGCUGUGUUAACGAUCUCUUUCAUUAAAAUGGUGGAAAGUUAGUUAUUGCAGAACAACGGACUUCAGCGACCGACUCCACGUGGGGUACUUCGCAAGCGCCAUUCACCUAACAUUCCUACGGGAAUUACGUUUAUUUUCCAAAGUUACUGGAGCCAGGGUUGAAGGAGGAAGGAGGACAGUUACACCUAUUAGCAGAAGUUGCAGGACGGACCUUUGGUGACCCACCCACCCAACUCUCCCCGUCUGGGGAGGCCCUUCCUUGGGGCCAUUCUUGACGUCUUUCUUCAGAAGGCUAACUCCUCCAAGAUUCGCUUUGGGUGACAUUUCCUCUCGGCACCCGGUGUGGAAGCCUCAACCUAGUGACCUCUUGUGUGGCUUCCUCAAUACCUUGAAAGUUCUUGGGGAGCUGGAAUAACGGCCAGUUCGCGUGUGUGAUAGGAUGGUCAACACGCGUAACACUUAGUCCAAAUGAGGAAGCAAGGACUUUAGCACAAGAGGAUCCGGGUCCCAGCUUCCAGAUUCCCCUAGAUUCUCACCUGAUUGUUAUCUCCAUGGCCAUAUGGAAGAAAAAGUGAAAUCAGAAGUUGUCUGUUUGGACUGGGGAAAGCUCCUGGGGCUUCCAAGAAGAAUAUUCACUACUUGUCCUGCUGACACCAACCAGUAUGUCCUACAGGCAUCUACUGAUCCUGGCUGGCUUCACCCAGCCCUGUGUCCUGGAGGGAUUGGAAAUGAACUCAUGGCCAGUGCUAGUAGAUGGCUACUUCCUCCUGCCAUGCCUGAAAACACACAGCAACCUCCUGUGAGGGGUCAGUGCUUGGAACAAGGCUCUUCUGGAAGCACAGAAUUUCUUUAUUAUUAUUGCUGCUACUGUUGUUGUUAUUAUUUCAGCACUGGGAACUGAGCCCAAGACACUCUACAACUGAGCUACAUCCCCAGCUCUUUUGAUUUUUUUUUUUUAAUUUUGAGAGAGGUCUUGCUGAGUUGCUCAGGCUGGGCUUGAACUUGUGAUCCUGCCCAACAUGGAAGCACAGAAUCUUCAGUGGGUUUCCCUUUGCCUAUCCGGGAGAAAGACGAAAGGGAGGGAAUCCCAGGCCAUGCUGGGCUUCCACCACCCUAUUCCUCUCCCAAGGCCCUUCCCAUGGAGGCUAACAGAUGCAGGUUUUGUUGGGCCUGAACAUCAUCUAGGCAAUAAAAUUCCCUUAGGUUAUGUACUAGAUCAAUUAAAAUUCU
Molecule: long non-coding RNA, 1707 nt
Organism: Sciurus carolinensis (gray squirrel)
Lineage: Eukaryota; Metazoa; Chordata; Mammalia; Rodentia; Sciuridae
Exons: 3
Source: RefSeq, a predicted model, not a curated record